UACGGAGGGUGCAAGCGUUAUCCGGAUUCACUGGGUUUAAAGGGUGCGUAGGUGGGUUGGUAAGUCAGUGGUGAAAUCCCCGAGCUUAACUUGGGAACUGCCAUUGAUACUAUCAAUCUUGAAUACCGUGGAGGUCAGCGGAAUAUGUCAUGUAGCGGUGAAAUGCUUAGAUAUGACAUAGAACACCAAUUGCGAAGGCAGCUGGCUACACGAAUAUUGACACUGAGGCACGAAAGCGUGGGGAUCAAACAG
This 252-nucleotide ribosomal RNA is filed under the name uncultured bacterium. RNAcentral's name for it is "partial 16S ribosomal RNA". It matches the Rfam family "Bacterial small subunit ribosomal RNA", at positions 524 to 775 of the family's 1533-position model. The record is from RNAcentral.